This 430-nucleotide ribosomal RNA is filed under the name uncultured Staphylococcus sp. RNAcentral describes it as "partial 16S ribosomal RNA". The record is from RNAcentral. Lineage: Bacteria; Bacillati; Bacillota; Bacilli; Caryophanales; Staphylococcaceae.
GGUUUGUCUGCUCAGGAUAACCUGCCGUCCUAAUACGCAAGUCGAGGCAGAUAAGAGCUUGCUCCUUUGUCGUUAUCGGGGACGGGUGAGUAUGCGUGUAACUACCAUAGCCUGAAUAACUCGGAACCGGAUAAUAGCGAAUUAUUAAUCGCAUGGUUUAAAGUAAAAUGCCGGAUCACUAUGAUGGUCCCCGGGUUUAGCUAGUGGUAAGGUACCGCUUCAAGCAACAAAGCGAUCGACCUGAGAGGGUGCGCCGCUGAACUGAUGGCUCGGUCCACUCCUCGGGAGGCACCAGUAGGGAAUCUCCCAAUGGCGAAAGCCUGGCGAACAACGUCGCGUGAGUGAUGAAGGUCUUCGGUCGUAAGUCUGUAUUAGGGAAGAGCAAAUGCGUAAGUACUGUGCGCGUCUUUCGGUACUAUCAAAGACCGGC